UAGGGAAUUUUCGGCAAUGGACGAAAGUCUGACCGAGCAACGCCGCGCGAGUGAAGAAGGUUUUCGGAUCGUAAAACUCUGUUGUUAGAGAAGAACAAGGACGUUAGUAACUGAACGUCCCCUGACGGUAUCUAACCAGAAAGCCACGGCUAACUACGUGCCAGCAGCCGCGGUAAUACGUAGGUGGCAAGCGUUGUCCGGAUUUAUUGGGCGUAAAGCGAGCGCAGGCGGUUGCUUAAGUCUGAUGUGAAAGCCCCCGGCUCAACCGGGGAGGGUCAUUGGAAACUGGGAGACUUGAGUGCAGAAGAGGAGAGUGGAAUUCCAUGUGUAGCGGUGAAAUGCGUAGAUAUAUGGAGGAACACCAGUGGCGAAGGCGGCUCUCUGGUCUGUAACUGACGCUGAGGCUCGAAAGCGUGGGGAGCAAACAGG
RNAcentral lists this ribosomal RNA (429 nucleotides) under Gemmatimonadota bacterium. Its description in RNAcentral is "Gemmatimonadetes bacterium partial 16S ribosomal RNA". It matches the Rfam family "Bacterial small subunit ribosomal RNA", at positions 355 to 776 of the family's 1533-position model. The record is from RNAcentral. Lineage: Bacteria; Pseudomonadati; Gemmatimonadota.